Molecule: long non-coding RNA, 3342 nt
Filed under: Mus musculus (house mouse)
Lineage: Eukaryota; Metazoa; Chordata; Mammalia; Rodentia; Muridae
Description: long non-coding RNA chr9:69380151-69383493
Source: RNAcentral
AACAAAUUAGCAGCUGGGAUAGUUACUGGAUUCUAGCUCUUAUUUAGAAGGACUCAAAGAUUCUAUGUGGAGCGAACAUAUUCCCCACAGGAAGCAUUUAUUGACGGCCUUGUGUUCUUGGCAUCGGGAGCCCUAAGAAGUCACCUCAGAGUAAACUGACCCUAGACUAGCUGUCCCAGAUUCCUGACUGUUGUUCUGUGUAUGGGGUAGAUGGUGGAUGAAGAGGGAGGGAGACAGUGUUGAACUUGGUUCCUGUGUUUAAGAUACGCCUUCAGAGUGAAGGUGGCGCCAGCUGCAGACAUUUGUGUAGGUAUCCUCACUAGAAAACUGUGGACUGUGAUUUAUUUUAUUAAAUAUAUAGAAGAUAGUUUGGCUUUUGUGUUCAGGUAAGAAGUAUUGAGGUUUUGAUUCAUUUUUGCAGUUUUUAAAAAAUAAUCCCCAGUGGAAGGAGGAAGGAGCUUUGUGUUCAUAGGUGUGCAUAUUUUAAGAUCAUGUGCCCUGGGAUUAAAGAGAUGAUGCUUCAGUGGGCAAGAGUAUGGAUUGCUCUAUCAGAGGACCAAAGCCUGGAACCCAGCCAGCAGAGCAGGCAAUUUCAAAAGCUUGUCCCUCCAGCCCCAAGAUAUCAGUGUCCCUUUCUGGCCUCUGUGGGCACACACACACACACACACACACACACACACGAGUGAGAGACAAGCAUAAAAACAAAUCCUUAAAAACAAGUUCUCUUUUUUUAAGAGGCAUUUAGGAGAUGACUUUGGUCACAAGAUACUGGUCUGGCAUCAAAGACCUUAUCUGUAGACAAAAAGGGAGCAUCUUCUAUGGUGUACAGGGCACGUUUAUGAAGCCCUAUGUACCCAGCUGCCUCCUCUGCCAACAGGGUCCUUCUGGACUCUCUUGCCAGCAUUUCUGCUCCUGCUGAUGUCCAUCUAAGAGGUUCCCAGGGCCAGCUUCCCAGAGCACAUCACAGUUUUUAACUUUACUGACUUUCUGCCUUAUUUACUGAGGGACUUGGAAAGUAGGAAGGAAUUAUUUGUAUAGAAAUGUGUGGGGGGAAGCCUAAAUAACAUCUAAUUUUUUUUUCAAAAACAUAGUAAGGGUUUAACCAUAAACAGGGGAGUGAUAUUUAAAUUUCUUACAAGCCUAGAAAAUUUUAUGUGUUUAUAUGGAGAGGUUAGUGGUCAGCAUAUAGUAUUUAUAUUUGGGCAAGAAGGGGUAAAUCAAAAUUUUAUUUAAACAUAGUUCCUUUAAAGAUUAAUAGUAUUUAUAUUCUAAAGAGAGUACAGUUUUUUAUUUAUUUGCCUUUUUUUUUUUUUUCCUGUUGCUUCUCCUAUGUGAGGGAAUGGUGUGAGGUUUUGGUUUGGUUUCUGUUUUUCCUUCGUUUAGUUCUUCAGAUUCACUAAAUUCGGGGAUAGAUUUAGUAAAUAUAUUAACUUCAUUUUAACCAAAGCUUUCUGCAUAUGACCAGCCUCAGGUGCUAGUGCACUAAAGAGCAACUAAACCCAAUUCCAGUGUCCACGUGUGACUAAGGAGAGCUGGCUGAGCGUCUCUAAGGGUGAGAGAGAUAGUGUGUGUGUGUGAUACUGAACUGCAGAGAAAUUCAUUUUCCCAGGAAGGAUUCUGUGUGUACCUUAUGUAAACCACGAACACAAGGUACUCCGAUCUCAUACUAUGCCACGGGGGCAUUGCUUUUACCACACACCAGGAGAGUGCGGUGAGACUUCCAGGUAUUCCUGAAAGAAAAGCAGAAAGCUGGCUUUCAGAGCAAAGUCCUCCGGCAUUGUAGCAAUGGCGCUAUAGAGCCAGAUGUGCUCUGAGAAACUGAAAGGACAGCUGGCUAGGACUUGUACCUAAGUUGAGAGUCACGGUGAGUCCUGCACAGGAUGUAAAACUUUGGCAUUUUUCUUUUCUUCCUGAUUGUGAGAACCACUUGUGUAGCACAGACUCAUGAGGCUUAAUAGUUCCUGUUGUUAAAGUUGCCUGAACUUAAAGGCUCUCCAGUCUCUGGAGACUGAAUCUCAUCAUCGUCAGCUCAGUUGCAAGAGGGCCAUCAGGUAGCUUUUUUUCUACAGAAAGUAAAUGAGGCUUUCGUACAAAGUCUGAAUGUGGUUACUGUGAUAAUGCAAACGAUUCAGGAACAUCAUUUUUUGGAUAGACCACAAAAUGUGCUAAGGCUAUGAGUUUGGGGUUUUUUGUUUGUUUUGUUUUGUUUAAAGCACUCAGUAUUCUAAUUUGUGUUAAAUCCAUGGACUUUUUUUUUCCCCCAAAGUCUUUAACAUCCUGAUUCACCCUUCCUAACUUAAGGAAAACAUGACAUAAGACACUGCUUCUAAGUUUGGUUGUCCUUUAGCCAGUGGAUACCAGAUCUCUGUGAGUGGAUGGGGGUGGGCUGAGAGUCAGGGGAGGAAGGAGCGUGUUUGCCUGGGUGUGUGGCUUUUGUGUGUAUGAAGUGUACACAAGUGUAUGUGUGUUAGACCGCUUCUAGGCUACUAAGUGUCAAUGGAAAAGAAAAUGUAUUCAAAAUACAUAAAUCAAAACUAGAAGAUGGAAAAAAAGAUUUAUUCUAUACAAAGCCUUGUCUGGACCACUCUAGAGAGACUUCUAUUUUUUUAAACCCUCUAUAAAUAUUUGAUGGCACUAGAAAUAUUCCUGCAAUAAAAUGUGAUUUGUGUAAAGAAAAAAAAAAGAUUUUGUAAUGUGAAACAAAGAAAGAAAGUAAUGUAAUUUUCUAAAAAAAAAAAUACAAACAAACAAACUUUGUAUUAUUUUCUUGAUGGAAUUUGCCUAUCUGUCUUUGGAAAACUUUUUAUUUCAUUGAAUGUGCCAUAGUAGAUGUACAUGCUUUUUGUUUUAGACUAAGGGAUGGCUGUUUGUGUUCCGACAUUCCAAAAUGCAAAGCAACUUAGCAGAAGCCUUGAUGAGGAGGUUUCGGUAGGAUGCAAGCGUCUCUCCUUGUUGCUUUUUUUGCACAAGUCUUUUUAAUUCUUACCUAGUGCAAUAUCUGUACAUAGAGCACUUGCGGGUGUACUUUGAUCCCUCAGGGAAAAACACAUAUUUGUACAGUUGUUGGGUUUGUUUUGGUUUUCUUGUUUGUUGUUUGAUUUAUUUUCCUUUUUCGUUCUUUGGCUAUGGAAUGUCGAUCGAAUCACUUGUUAUUGUUGAGAGGCAGCCAGAUAAUCAGCCUAAAGCCACUGUUUCAAACACCGAUUGUUUGAGUCAUGUCUUUCCAGUACUAUUAUUUUAAAAUGAUAUUAAUAAUAAUAAUAAUAAUAAAAAGCUAUUUUCUGACAGUUCUUUGUGCUGACUGGUAGAAAAAAUGGUAAAAAAAUAAUAAUAGUAAUAAGC